Molecule: ribosomal RNA, 1352 nt
Filed under: uncultured bacterium
Lineage: Bacteria
Description: bacterial SSU rRNA
Rfam family: Bacterial small subunit ribosomal RNA
Source: RNAcentral
AUUGAACGCUGGCGGCAUGCCUUACACAUGCAAGUCGAACGGCAGCACGGGGGCAACCCUGGUGGCGAGUGGCGAACGGGUGAGUAACAUAUCGGAACGUGCCCUGGAGUGGGGGAUAACUAGUCGAAAGAUUAGCUAAUACCGCAUACGAUCUACGGAUGAAAGUGGGGGAUCGCAAGACCUCAUGCUCGUGGAGCGGCCGAUAUCUGAUUAGCUAGUUGGUGGGGUAAAGGCCUACCAAGGCAUCGAUCAGUAGCUGGUCUGAGAGGACGACCAGCCACACUGGGACUGAGACACGGCCCAGACUCCUACGGGAGGCAGCAGUGGGGAAUUUUGGACAAUGGGCGCAAGCCUGAUCCAGCAAUGCCGCGUGAGUGAAGAAGGCCUUCGGGUUGUAAAGCUCUUUUGUCAGGGAAGAAACGGUGAGGGCUAAUAUCCUUUGCUAAUGACCGUACCUGAAGACUCUGCCCCGGCCUACUACGUGCCAGCAGCCGCGGUAAUACGUAGGGUGCAGCGUUAAUUCGGAAUUACUGGGCGUAAAGCGUGCGCAGGCGGUUGUGCAAGACCGAUGUGAAGUCCCCGGGCUUAACCUGGAAAUGGCAUUGGUGACUGCACGGCUAGAGUGUGUCAGAGGGGGGUAGAAUUCCACGUGUAGCAGUGAAAUGCGUAGAGAUGUGGAGGAAUACCGAUGGCGAAGGCAGCCCCCUGGGAUAACACUGACGCUCAUGCACGAAAGCGUGGGGAGCAAACAGGAUUAGAUACCCUGGUAGUCCACGCCCUAAACGAUGUCAACUAGUUGUCGGGUCUUAAUUGACUUGGUAACGCAGCUAACGCGUGAAGUUGACCGCCUGGGGAGUACGGUCGCAAGAUUAAAACUCAAAGGAAUUGACGGGGACCCGCACAAGCGGUGGAUGAUGUGGAUUAAUUCGAUGCAACGCGAAAAACCUUACCUACCCUUGACAUGGCAGGAAUCCCGGAGAGAUUCGGGAGUGCUCGAAAGAGAACCUGCACACAGGUGCUGCAUGGCUGUCGUCAGCUCGUGUCGUGAGAUGUUGGGUUAAGUCCCGCAACGAGCGCAACCCUUGUCAUUAGUUGCUACGAAAGGGCACUCUAAUGAGACUGCCGGUGACAAACCGGAGGAAGGUGGGGAUGACGUCAAGUCCUCAUGGCCCUUAUGGGUAGGGCUUCACACGUCAUACAAUGGUACAUACAGAGGGCCGCCAACCCGCGAGGGGGAGCUAAUCCCAGAAAGUGUAUCGUAGUCCGGAUUGCAGUCUGCAACUCGACUGCAUGAAGUUGGAAUCGCUAGUAAUCGCGGAUCAGCAUGUCGCGGUGAAUACGUUCCCGGGUCU